RNAcentral lists this ribosomal RNA (253 nucleotides) under uncultured bacterium. RNAcentral describes it as "partial 16S ribosomal RNA". It matches the Rfam family "Bacterial small subunit ribosomal RNA", at positions 524 to 776 of the family's 1533-position model. The record is from RNAcentral.
UACGUAGGGUGCGAGCGUUGUCCGGAAUUACUGGGCGUAAAGAGCUCGUAGGUGGUUUGUCGCGUUGUUCGUGAAAACUCACAGCUUAACUGUGGGCGUGCGGGCGAUACGGGCAGACUGGAGUGCUGCAGGGGAGACUGGAAUUCCUGGUGUAGCGGUGGAAUGCGCAGAUAUCAGGAGGAACACCGGUGGCGAAGGCGGGUCUCUGGGCAGAAACUGACGCUGAGGAGCGAAAGCGUGGGGAGCGAACAGG